RNAcentral lists this long non-coding RNA (720 nucleotides) under Actinidia chinensis (golden kiwifruit). Its description in RNAcentral is "long non-coding RNA (ACHI_LNC009169)". The record is from RNAcentral. Lineage: Eukaryota; Viridiplantae; Streptophyta; Magnoliopsida; Ericales; Actinidiaceae.
GCUGCUCCACUGGGGUCCAGACAAACGUAAAUUUGUAACUAAGCCUGCAAAAUGGGAGAAAAUCCGAGCACACCAAUGGUAAUUACAUAUAUUUUCUAUGAACACCAAUUUCACGGAACUAUAAAUUGCAAAUUAUGCAUCAAUAUGAGCACACGGCGGUAAGUUACAUAUAUUUUCAUAUGAGUUCAAUUUUCACACAACGAUAAAUUGCAAAUUAUAGUAUCAAUAUGAGCUAAAUUUCAACAGUUAGGUCCCGAAUUACAGACACUAGUUCAGUUGUCUAUCAAUUUAUUUUCAUACAUCCCUCUAUUGUAUUCGUAAUCCCUCCGUGUGUUCAGGAACCUUACCUACAAAUAUCAAAGAUACAUAUAUAUUAUAUGUAUAUCUGUAUAUAUAGAUAUAUACGUGUGCGCCGCGUGUGUUGGCGUCGCGUAUGUUAUAUAUAUAUAUAUAUAUAUAUAUAUAAUAUAUAUAUUAUAUAUAUAUAUAUAAUAGAUAGAGAGAGAGAGAGAGGAGAGAGAGAGAGAGAGAGAGGACCUGAACAGGAGGAGAGAGGGGGGGAGGCCGAGUUGGAUCUGUGAGACGAUUGAAGAGUGCGGUCGGCGCAAACCCUAACUCUCUCUCUCUCUUGUGUUGUGGCUCUGUCUCUUUGUUGCCGCCAGACCGAUGAAACAAGAACGACGCAAGGCUUUUCAAACUUCCAACACAAACCCUAACCCC